This 253-nucleotide ribosomal RNA is filed under the name uncultured bacterium. RNAcentral's name for it is "partial 16S ribosomal RNA". It matches the Rfam family "Bacterial small subunit ribosomal RNA", at positions 524 to 776 of the family's 1533-position model. The record is from RNAcentral.
GACGGAAGGUGCAAGCGUUGCUCGGAAUCACUGGGCGUAAAGGGUGCGUAGGCGGCCGCGCAAGUCUGGCGUGAAAGCCCCGGGCUCAGCCCGGGAAGGGCGCUCGAAACGGCGCGGCUCGAGUGCCGGAGGGGAGAGUGGAAUUCAUGGUGUAGCAGUGAAAUGCGUAGAUAUCAUGAGGAAGACCAGUGGCGAAGGCGGAUCUCUGGACAGUUCCUGACACUGAGGCACGAAGGCCAGGGGAGCAAACGGG